AAUUAAUUUUUAAUACCUUCUAACUAAUACAUUUAAAAAAGUGUUUUUUUCAUAGCAGUUUUAAGAGCAAUAACAAAUAGACCCUAAGAGGUAUUAAUGUUCAUAACAAAGGGGCAUAUAUAAAAUUUUUAUCCUUUUGAACUUCUCCCAAUUAGUGCUUUAAUCUGUAGUUAAAAUCUAAAUUCACAACCACCCAUCAUAUAGCCCAACAGCUCUUACUAGACAACAUUGAAUCUUGGAAUUACAAAGACUGUCCCACGACAAGAUAUGAUGAACUCUAUUCCAGUAUCAAGUAAAAAGCAUAGACAUGUUUCUCAUGAAAUAUGUCAUGAUAUAACACCCCAACCUGUCAUAGUUUAGGCUACAAGGCCACAAAGUACUUAUUAUGACUUGAUUAAAAAAGUUUACCAGUUACACACAGGAAUUUACAUAAUUUAACCGGCAUACUUACAAUUAUGCACAUA
This 464-nucleotide unclassified non-coding RNA is filed under the name Hevea brasiliensis (rubber tree). The record is from RNAcentral. Lineage: Eukaryota; Viridiplantae; Streptophyta; Magnoliopsida; Malpighiales; Euphorbiaceae.